This 474-nucleotide ribosomal RNA is filed under the name uncultured bacterium. Its description in RNAcentral is "bacterial SSU rRNA". It matches the Rfam family "Bacterial small subunit ribosomal RNA", at positions 328 to 793 of the family's 1533-position model. The record is from RNAcentral.
CGCUAUCACUCCGUACGGGAGGCAGCAGUAGGGAAUCUUCCACAAUGGGCGCAAGCCUGAUGGAGCAACACCGCGUGAGUGAAGAAGGGUUUCGGCUCGUAAAGCUCUGUUGUUAAAGAAGAACACGUAUGAGAGUAACUGUUCAUACGUUGACGGUAUUUAACCAGAAAGUCACGGCUAACUACGUGCCAGCAGCCGCGGUAAUACGUAGGUGGCAAGCGUUAUCCGGAUUUAUUGGGCGUAAAGAGAGUGCAGGCGGUUUUCUAAGUCUGAUGUGAAAGCCUUCGGCUUAACCGGAGAAGUGCAUCGGAAACUGGAUAACUUGAGUGCAGAAGAGGGUAGUGGAACUCCAUGUGUAGCGGUGGAAUGCGUAGAUAUAUGGAAGAACACCAGUGGCGAAGGCGGCUACCUGGUCUGCAACUGACGCUGAGACUCGAAAGCAUGGGUAGCGAACAGGAUUAGAUACCCUGGUAG